AGUUUGCUCCCCUGUAGGCAGAAGGUGGAUCAACCUUAUUCAGCUCUUGCAAGGAAAGAGAAGGAAGAUGCUGGUGAGCUGGGCCCAUCUAGGUGAGUAUAAUACUGGGACAGAAACUGAUGGUCCUUGUGUUCCACAAGUAACUGGGAUAAAACAGUUGUGCUUCUUAUGUAAGUUGGUUAUAUUUUGAGCCUCACAUGGUUCAUUCAUUCAUUCAGCAAGUAUUUUCUGAGUGCUUGCUCUAGGGCCAGACACUGUUAGGUACAAUAAAACAAUUAUGAUGAGAAGUAGAUAUGUUUCUACCUGCAGUUCAGUUUGGUUGAGGAGUUUGGGAACAGAAAUCAAAUAACCAUACUGAUAGACCAAUUUUUCAAAAAUAAACAGAUAGGGAUAGAUACAUAGUUAAGUUUUGUCCAGUAAAGGAAUUAAUGAAUAAAUGGAUAAAUAUAAUACACUCGAUUUUUCCUUUUAAGCAUUUCAAUGGUUUAAUAAACCAAACCUUCCUAAAUAUUUAAAUAAAACUCAUAACUCUAUUAAACAUACACAUAUGGCAAAUGACGACUUCUCAAACAGCCAAUAAUCUUUAGUCUUAAUAAAAUUCUCAUCUCUUCAACUUAAUAUUCUAAGUUUAAGCCAAUACUUGAUUAAAAGUUUAAAAUUUCAAUGAUAAGGCUCAUCUAUCUAAUUCCUUAACAUGCUAUAGUUUUUGAAAAUAGGACAUUUUAUGUAUUAAUUAUUCAUUUACUGUUUCUUAGUGCCAGAUAAUAAUAAUAGAUAUGAUUUAAUCCUCAUUUCUUUGCUUAAAUUUGACCUUUUGGCAUAGACAUUGUAAGAAAACCUUCUAUUUCUCUUAUCUGGGGACCGCAGUUGCAUACUGAUUGCGGGGAAUGUUUGACUGGGCUCCAGGAUUCUCUUCUUCCCAUUCCCAACCCCACCCCCGCCUUUUUUUUUCUAAUCAUGAGCUGUAAGGACAUGAGACUGGAGUGGCUGCAGCCAUUUUUCUUAUCUGGUAGAUAGAGUUUGUAUGGGAGAUGAUGAAACCAGCAUUUAAUAAAAUCCAGAGACAAGCAGAGGGCAGAGAUGGAGACUGAGACUUCUGACAAUACCUGAGUCCAUGGAUAAAGCUGUGCCUGAAUUACGACCCACCCUGAAUCCUCCUAAUUGCAUGAGCCUACACAUUUCUUGCUUGACCUAAGCUGUUUCAUUUAGAUUUUCAUCUCUCUUAACUGAAAGUAUCCUGACAUAUUUCAUAGGCCGUGUUAGCCAUUGUCCUCCUCCAGUACUCCAAACCUUCAGAAAACAUUUGUUACCCUAAAUAGCCUUUAAAGUGCUUGAGGAAUGAAGGAAGAUAGCGGGUGUGCAGUGGCUGUGGAGUCAUCUGCACCAAAGUGGUGGGGAGUGAGGCAGCAGCAUCCAAAGAUGAAAUGAGGUGCCGAUGGAGAACUUUGCAAAAUUAGAGAUACAGAGCAAGUAGUUACCAUAAGGACAUAGAGGUCCUGGGAUCCUCUGCAAUCGGGAGGACACCAGACUUCCUGUGAUUUGUGGAAUGGAAGGUCAAGUCAUGUCAUUUGGAUAUGAAAGUGUGGGCAUCAGAAGGCUAAGAUCUCUAGGUGACAUUUUCAUGCUUUCUACCAAGAUAAAAAGUUUCUGAUCCUGGCAGUAUCAAGUCUUAUUAUAGCAAAAACAGGCAAAACAGUUUACUGCAAUAAGGACAGCAGUAUAGCAAGGGAUUGAGCUUGGGCCAGGCCUGAGAACAAUCUUAGACUCAAAGAUAGCAUAUAGAAAGUAUAGUGUUGAAGCAUCUGUUGUUUGCUUGACCUGCGUUUAUUUCUCCUCUGGCAGUAGUUCUUCAAUAUUCCUUUGGGGAACAAUUCUUUAUCAUCUUCUAGUUCAUACACCAAAGACUACUAGGAACACACCUAUAGUUGUACAAACAGGGCUUAUGAUUAACUGCAGCCUGUGAGAACACACACCCCUGGGAGCCAUAAGGCAUGUCAAUAGAAGGGUAUUAGAAAGGUCUUAUUGUAGGAUUUGAGAUUGUUAGGUUAAUUUGGUGGAAGGCUUAAGGAAAAGAGGCUUUGCUUUGGUUUGAAUGCCCUCAGAAAGUGGGAGUAAUUAUUUAGGAGGAGGGAAGAGUAGCUUAAGGCUAAAGUUGUAAUUGGUGAAGAAGCAGCAGUCACAUUAGUCUAGAUAAGUCGAUAUUUGGUAUUUUGUGACUUUGAUAAUGUUCAUGUUUUGCCUGUGUUUAGUCAUGAUUAUUAAGUGGUAUUAUCUUAGUCUUGAUUUCUUCAUAGUCACAGAGUAGUUUGUCAGAUGUAAACAUUCUAUGAAAUUGUUUAUCUCAAAUGGAGAACAUGAAGGCCCAGAUGUAAGUAGAAG
Molecule: long non-coding RNA, 2379 nt
Filed under: Homo sapiens (human)
Lineage: Eukaryota; Metazoa; Chordata; Mammalia; Primates; Hominidae
Description: HSALNT0330129
Source: RNAcentral